CAUACCUAUUCGAAGGGAUAGGGUCGGUUCGGCCGGGUUUCACACAGGUGUUGCAUGGCUGUCGUCAGCUCGUGUCGUGAGAUGUUGGGUUAAGUCCCGCAACGAGCGCAACCCUCAUCCUUAGUUACCAUCAGGUAAUGCUGGGGACUUUGAGGAAACUGCCAGUGAUAAACUGGAGGAAGGUGGGGAUGAUGUCAAGUCAUCAUGGCCCUUAUGGAGUGGGCUACACACGCGCUACAAUGGUGGCUACAAUGGGCUGCAAAGUCGCGAGGCUAAGCCAAUCCCUUAAAAGCCAUCCCAGUUCGGAUUGUACUCUGCAACUCGAGUGCAUGAAGUUGGAAUCGCUAGUAAUCGUGGAUCAGCAUGCCACGGUGAAUACGUUCUCGGGUCUUGUACACACUGCCCGUCACGCCAUGGGAAUUGGUUUCACUCGAAGCU
RNAcentral lists this ribosomal RNA (438 nucleotides) under Wolbachia pipientis. Its description in RNAcentral is "bacterial SSU rRNA". It matches the Rfam family "Bacterial small subunit ribosomal RNA", at positions 993 to 1428 of the family's 1533-position model. Lineage: Bacteria; Pseudomonadati; Pseudomonadota; Alphaproteobacteria; Rickettsiales; Anaplasmataceae. The record is from RNAcentral.